Non-coding RNA from Potamilus streckersoni, 73 nucleotides. The record is from the annotation of a GenBank genome assembly. Lineage: Eukaryota; Metazoa; Mollusca; Bivalvia; Unionida; Unionidae.
GAUCCGGUGGCCGAGUUCUUAGAGCGUCCACCUCGAAUGCGGGAGGUCGUGGGUUCGAUCCCAGGCCGAGUCA